RNAcentral lists this ribosomal RNA (1722 nucleotides) under Klebsiella pneumoniae. RNAcentral's name for it is "partial 23S ribosomal RNA". It matches the Rfam family "Bacterial large subunit ribosomal RNA", at positions 1225 to 2925 of the family's 2925-position model. The record is from RNAcentral. Lineage: Bacteria; Pseudomonadati; Pseudomonadota; Gammaproteobacteria; Enterobacterales; Enterobacteriaceae.
UGGGUAGGGGAGCGUUCUGUAAGCCUGCGAAGGUGGCCUGUGAGGGUUGCUGGAGGUAUCAGAAGUGCGAAUGCUGACAUAAGUAACGAUAAAGCGGGUGAAAAGCCCGCUCGCCGGAAGACCAAGGGUUCCUGUCCAACGUUAAUCGGGGCAGGGUGAGUCGACCCCUAAGGCGAGGCCGAAAGGCGUAGUCGAUGGGAAACAGGUUAAUAUUCCUGUACUUGGUGUUACUGCGAAGGGGGGACGGAGAAGGCUAUGUUAGCCGGGCGACGGUUGUCCCGGUUUAAGCAUGUAGGCUGGUUAUCCAGGCAAAUCCGGAUAAUCAAGGCUGAGGUGUGAUGACGAGGCACUACGGUGCUGAAGUAACAAAUGCCCUGCUUCCAGGAAAAGCCUCUAAGCAUCAGGUAACAUUAAAUCGUACCCCAAACCGACACAGGUGGUCAGGUAGAGAAUACCAAGGCGCUUGAGAGAACUCGGGUGAAGGAACUAGGCAAAAUGGUGCCGUAACUUCGGGAGAAGGCACGCUGGUGUGUAGGUGAAGUCCCUGCGGAUGGAGCUGAGACCAGUCGAAGAUACCAGCUGGCUGCAACUGUUUAUUAAAAACACAGCACUGUGCAAACACGAAAGUGGACGUAUACGGUGUGACGCCUGCCCGGUGCCGGAAGGUUAAUUGAUGGGGUUAUCCGUAAGGAGAAGCUCUUGAUCGAAGCCCCGGUAAACGGCGGCCGUAACUAUAACGGUCCUAAGGUAGCGAAAUUCCUUGUCGGGUAAGUUCCGACCUGCACGAAUGGCGUAAUGAUGGCCAGGCUGUCUCCACCCGAGACUCAGUGAAAUUGAACUCGCUGUGAAGAUGCAGUGUACCCGCGGCAAGACGGAAAGACCCCGUGAACCUUUACUAUAGCUUGACACUGAACAUUGAGCCUUGAUGUGUAGGAUAGGUGGGAGGCUUUGAAGCGUGGACGCCAGUCUGCGUGGAGCCAACCUUGAAAUACCACCCUUUAAUGUUUGAUGUUCUAACGUUGGCCCCUGACCGGGGUUGCGGACAGUGUCUGGUGGGUAGUUUGACUGGGGCGGUCUCCUCCCAAAGCGUAACGGAGGAGCACGAAGGUUAGCUAAUCCUGGUCGGACAUCAGGAGGUUAGUGCAAUGGCAUAAGCUAGCUUGACUGCGAGCGUGACGGCGCGAGCAGGUGCGAAAGCAGGUCAUAGUGAUCCGGUGGUUCUGAAUGGAAGGGCCAUCGCUCAACGGAUAAAAGGUACUCCGGGGAUAACAGGCUGAUACCGCCCAAGAGUUCAUAUCGACGGCGGUGUUUGGCACCUCGAUGUCGGCUCAUCACAUCCUGGGGCUGAAGUAGGUCCCAAGGGUAUGGCUGUUCGCCAUUUAAAGUGGUACGCGAGCUGGGUUUAGAACGUCGUGAGACAGUUCGGUCCCUAUCUGCCGUGGGCGCUGGAGAAUUGAGGGGGGCUGCUCCUAGUACGAGAGGACCGGAGUGGACGCAUCACUGGUGUUCGGGUUGUCAUGCCAAUGGCACUGCCCGGUAGCUAAAUGCGGAAGAGAUAAGUGCUGAAAGCAUCUAAGCACGAAACUUGCCCCGAGAUGAGUUCUCCCUGAGACUUUAAGUCUCCUGAAGGAACGUUGAAGACGACGACGUUGAUAGGCCGGGUGUGUAAGCGCAGCGAUGCGUUGAGCUAACCGGUACUAAUGAACCGUGAGGCUUAACCUU